AAUAUUCAGGAUUUGAACUCUGAAUUACUUGAUUUAUUAAUUAAACAAAAUGUCCAAUACAAGCUUCUAGUUGCUUUAAAUACAACAAGGAACUCAAAAAUUACGAGGAAACUGAAAGAUAUUAAUUUACCAUUGCAUCCACUCAUUGAAUUUUGAAGCCAUCUAAUGAGCAUAUAAUAUAUAUACAUGGGAUAGUUCAUUAGCUUUCAACCUACUGCGCAGAUCUUGUAUAUAUAAAUAAAUUGCCUGCAGGAUAAAUUGCAAGCUGCCACUGGGUUCAAUAUUCAACUCUUCCAAAGAUUUGGCAAGCAAUGAUUUGCAAUUCCUGAAGUCAGGAAUCAGCAAGAGAUCGAGAAGAGUGGCCAAGAGAGGCACUGUGAAGUGCACCUUUGGCUACAGUGGUAGCUUGGUAACUGGCAUCAGAUUGGUGCCAUCUUUGAACUGAAUCUUAAACAUAGUGGCCGGAGUAUUCAUCGGAUAAACAAGCUCCGAUUGGCUGAGCUUGGGGGAAUCAUAUUUGGACCGCCUUUUAAACAGCAAAUAGGCAAGAAACAGAAGAAAGAAAGCGAACAGCAAGACUAGAACUAGCAGCAUGAUCUCACCGUGGAUGGCGAAGUUCCGGUCACCGGAGACGAGGAGCUCAUCUUUCUGGGGAUGGUUAUUAGGGGUCAGUGCUAGUGAAGCUGAUGGUUGUUCACUAGCAUUAUUAUUAGCCAUAGAAACAAAGGCCAUGGUCAACUCUCAACUGAAACUUCUCCAGGCAAUGAACUGCAGGCGGCAGCCAGUGGGGUUAAAUUGACUGUUUGUGUACAACUUUUAUCGAUCGGGCUAACUCACGUGGUCUCAGUUUCAUAAGCUAAAAGUGUUGGGUUCAGUUUGGGUAACGUAGAAGGGAAAUGAAAUGAUUGAAUGCAGGAGAUUAAUAUAAUAAGGUGAAUGACGCUUUCUUUUUAAAAGAGGAAGAGGGAAAAAGAAAUACAGGAAACUUAAU
This 991-nucleotide unclassified non-coding RNA is filed under the name Hevea brasiliensis (rubber tree). Lineage: Eukaryota; Viridiplantae; Streptophyta; Magnoliopsida; Malpighiales; Euphorbiaceae. The record is from RNAcentral.